CAAGCCAAUGAAUAGCUCCAUUAAAGAACAAACCUACUCCGGAGGUGUCGUCAUUUGUGUCGAGAUAUCAAUCAAUAAUACUUACAAUAGGAUUGGCCAAAAGUGCUCCUGUUCAUUGCAAAUUUUGAGUUUUUCGCUACUGUUCACCAUUCCAAAUCCCCUUCCAUGUCGAUUCCCUUUUUCUCGUUUCUUUCAUUCCUUUUCCUGUUUUGUUUGGAUCCAUUUAAUGCCUUUUCUAUUCUGACAGU
Molecule: long non-coding RNA, 248 nt
Filed under: Trifolium pratense (red clover)
Lineage: Eukaryota; Viridiplantae; Streptophyta; Magnoliopsida; Fabales; Fabaceae
Description: long non-coding RNA (TPRA_LNC005770)
Source: RNAcentral